This 675-nucleotide ribosomal RNA is filed under the name uncultured Pseudomonadota bacterium. RNAcentral describes it as "bacterial SSU rRNA". It matches the Rfam family "Bacterial small subunit ribosomal RNA", at positions 69 to 740 of the family's 1533-position model. The record is from RNAcentral. Lineage: Bacteria; Pseudomonadati; Pseudomonadota.
AUGACGGGAGCUUGCUCCUUGAUUCAGCGGCGGACGGGUGAGUAAUGCCUAGGAAUCUGCCUGGUAGUGGGGGACAACGUUUCGAAAGGAACGCUAAUACCGCAUACGUCCUACGGGAGAAAGCAGGGGACCUUCGGGCCUUGCGCUAUCAGAUGAGCCUAGGUCGGAUUAGCUAGUUGGUGGGGUAAUGGCUCACCAAGGCGACGAUCCGUAACUGGUCUGAGAGGAUGAUCAGUCACACUGGAACUGAGACACGGUCCAGACUCCUACGGGAGGCAGCAGUGGGGAAUAUUGGACAAUGGGCGAAAGCCUGAUCCAGCCAUGCCGCGUGUGUGAAGAAGGUCUUCGGAUUGUAAAGCACUUUAAGUUGGGAGGAAGGGCAGUAAGUUAAUACCUUGCUGUUUUGACGUUACCGACAGAAUAAGCACCGGCUAACUCUGUGCCAGCAGCCGCGGUAAUACAGAGGGUGCAAGCGUUAAUCGGAAUUACUGGGCGUAAAGCGCGCGUAGGUGGUUUGUUAAGUUGGAUGUGAAAGCCCCGGGCUCAACCUGGGAACUGCAUCCAAAACUGGCAAGCUAGAGUACGGUAGAGGGUGGUGGAAUUUCCUGUGUAGCGGUGAAAUGCGUAGAUAUAGGAAGGAACACCAGUGGCGAAGGCGACCACCUGGACUGAUAC